RNAcentral lists this ribosomal RNA (497 nucleotides) under uncultured bacterium. RNAcentral's name for it is "partial 16S ribosomal RNA". It matches the Rfam family "Bacterial small subunit ribosomal RNA", at positions 28 to 507 of the family's 1533-position model. The record is from RNAcentral.
GACGAACGCUGGCGGCGUGCCUAAUACAUGCAAGUUGAGCGAUGAAGAUUGGUGCUUGCACCAAUUUGAAGAGCAGCGAACGGGUGAGUAACGCGUGGGGAAUCUGCCUUUGAGCGGGGGACAACAUUUGGAAACGAAUGCUAAUACCGCAUAAUAACUUUAAACAUAAGUUUUAAGUUUGAAAGAUGCAAUUGCAUCACUCAAAGAUGAUCCCGCGUUGUAUUAGCUAGUUGGUGAGGUAAAGGCUCACCAAGGCGAUGAUAGAUAGCCGACCUGAGAGGGUGAUCGGCCACAUUGGGACUGAGACACGGCCCAAACUCCUACGGGAGGCAGCAGUAGGGAAUCUUCGGCAAUGGACGAAAGUCUGACCGAGCAACGCCGCGUGAGUGAAGAAGGUUUUCGGAUCGUAAAACUCUGUUGGUAGAGAAGAACGUUGGUGAGAGUGGAAAGCUCAUCAAGUGACGGUAACUACCCAGAAAGGGACGGCUAACUACGUG